This 76-nucleotide transfer RNA is filed under the name Spiribacter sp. 2438. RNAcentral describes it as "tRNA-Lys". It matches the Rfam family "tRNA". From Rfam's summary of the family: Transfer RNA (tRNA) molecules are approximately 80 nucleotides in length. Their secondary structure includes four short double-helical elements and three loops (D, anti-codon, and T loops). Further hydrogen bonds mediate the characteristic L-shaped molecular structure. tRNAs have two regions of fundamental functional importance: the anti-codon, which is responsible for specific mRNA codon recognition, and the 3' end, to which the tRNAs corresponding amino acid is attached (by aminoacyl-tRNA synthetases). tRNAs cope with the degeneracy of the genetic code in two manners: having more than one tRNA (with a specific anti-codon) for a particular amino acid; and 'wobble' base-pairing, i.e. permitting non-standard base-pairing at the 3rd anti-codon position. The record is from RNAcentral. Lineage: Bacteria; Pseudomonadati; Pseudomonadota; Gammaproteobacteria; Chromatiales; Ectothiorhodospiraceae.
GGGUCGUUAGCUCAGCUGGUAGAGCAUCGGACUUUUAAUCCGCUGGUCGCAGGUUCGAAUCCUGCACGACCCACCA